GUUAUGAGUUACAGAGACCUGCAGGCAAAGCUGAAACUUUAAGCUGAUCCCCUGCCUCAGAAAGGGUAUAGAGUAACACAUCUUUGCUCAGCUUGAAGAAAGACAAGGCUGGAAGCAGGGGCCUUAUCAGGGGCCUAUCUUCCAAGCCUAGCCACCAUGUGAAAUACCUUGAGCCUGAUUGCAGGUUAAUGUAGUCACAGUCUGUUUAAGCUGACCUCAGACAGCUGUUGGAAGAAUGGCUACCUUGCUGUUCUGCUUUGUGCCUGCUGCCAUGUGGGCUGGUCCUGCUUGAUGAUGGAUCCAAAAAUUAGUCUGAAGUAGAAAAGGAUAAGAUUUUGGUUGGAUCUGUGUACCCUGAGGCUAUGGGGUUGUUGGGCCCAACUUGAGGGAGAAGGUACAAAUCUGUGAUCAGAGGAGCAGGAGAGGUGACUUGUCCUCUGGGCAGCUGCUUCUGGUCAAGUUGGUGUCAGCCAUUUGUGAGCACUGAAGAGAUCAUCUGCUCUGUGGAGAGGACAUCUGUCUGAGCCAUGAAGUGACACCUGGCAGCCUUAUUUUCUUUACUGUUCUGCUCUAUGGAGAAAGCAAUCGUUUGCGAAAGGAAACCUGUAUCAUCCACAGGCCACAGCAAAAAGGAUCUUGGCUGACUACAAUGAUUGGCACCUAGUACUGCCAACCUCAGGCACAUGAAAUGAUGUGGGAGUUGGGUGUGUCAGGAAGCAAGGACUGAGCCUCAUGCUGCUAUCUUCUAAGGAUAACUUGCUCUCUUCCUGAUGCUUAAUGGGAACUGGGAUAUGCCUAAUCAGACCAAACAAAAGAUGUAGAGAUUAAACUGCACCAUUAGUAUGCAGUAAUGAGAUGAC
This 860-nucleotide long non-coding RNA is filed under the name Numida meleagris (helmeted guineafowl). Its description in RNAcentral is "lncRNA (ENSNMEG00000009243.1)". The record is from RNAcentral. Lineage: Eukaryota; Metazoa; Chordata; Aves; Galliformes; Numididae.